Molecule: ribosomal RNA, 238 nt
Filed under: uncultured bacterium
Lineage: Bacteria
Description: partial 16S ribosomal RNA
Rfam family: Bacterial small subunit ribosomal RNA
Source: RNAcentral
GAUCUGGCUCAGGAUGAACGCUGGCGGCGUGCUUAACACAUGCAAGUCGAACGAAGCACUUUAUUACAAUUUCUUCGGAAUGACGAUUUAGUGACUGAGUGGCGGACGGGUGAGUAACGCGUGGGUAACCUGCCUUAUACAGGGGGAUAACAGUUAGAAAUGACUGCUAAUACCGCAUAAGCGCACAGGAUUGCAUGAUCUGGUGUGAAAAACUCCGGUGGUAUAAGAUGGACCCGCG